RNA transcript from Ornithorhynchus anatinus (platypus), 1251 nucleotides. It is a transcript of the gene named zygote arrest 1 like, with no coding region annotated. The transcript has 4 exons. Lineage: Eukaryota; Metazoa; Chordata; Mammalia; Monotremata; Ornithorhynchidae. The record is from RefSeq and is a predicted model, not a curated record.
GGUGCUAGGACGGACAGUGAUGGUGCUUGUUAGGCGCUUACUACGUGCCCAGCACUCCGUGGUGACCCCCUGGCAGCCCGCGCUUCUUUUCCUUUCUUUAAGGUUUAUUUCAAACAACUCUGUCGCAAGGGUCAGAAGAGCUUUAACCCCUAUCGAGUGGAAGCCAUCCAGUGCCAACCCUAGAAAGUUCCCUCGCCUCUAAUGGGAUGCUUCAAGUCCAUUUUCCUUUGCUCCAUUCUGAGGGGAACGAUGAAGCUCGGUGUGUGGAAGCCUUUUGCUUAGAUAAAAGUAAAGGCCUCCCUCACCAAGUCUGUUUUUUCCACCUCUUUCUGCCUUUUGUUAGACCAACUGAACCCGUGCAGUUCGCAUGGAAACCUGAUUCCUUCUCAAAACCCUUCUAAAUUCUCCUCAUCUCUCAAGGAUUCUAGACAGUAAGUAAACCAUUCUGUAUUUAUCCCAGAAUUUAGGGCAGUACUUCACACAUAGUAAGCACACAGUGAAUACAGCAAAUACCAGAACUGUCUGCAAUAUUCAGAUCAGAAACUGGCCGGGAGACUGACCUCCCAGGACCUUUGUUGUUUGGGGUUUUUUUUUCUAAAUAUACUCGUUUGGGGAUUCCAGGAUCAAGCUUGUCAUUGUAUUUCUUCUGACCCCUAUGUGAUACAUGCCUUUCCUUCACAUUGACCAUCUUCGGUAAAACUACUUUGAGGAUCCAAAGUUUCCGGGGUCCCUCAGGUGAAGAUCUCUAUCACAGGUUAAAUACCAAAUGAGGGGGCACGAUUGAACUUAUAUUUCAGAUAGACGAGACCUGCCCUAAAGCGGACGUUAGGAUAUCGAUAUUCUGACUGAAAUGCAAAGCCACUGCCAUAAAAAACAGUGAGAGAGAUGGAACUUCUUUGUCUUGUCUCCUAAAGAUGUGUCAGAGUCUCGUUGCUCCUGCCCUCAGAAGAAGACACAUUGACCUGAAACGACUUCACCGGCAGGAGCUCUGUGGCCGCUGCAAAGGGAAACCAUUAUCCUGUGACAAUACCUACAGUUUCAAGUAUAUAUCUGAUGGCUAACAACUUCUACACAGCACUUUAGAACCCUAGAACACUCUACCUCUUCUGUGUAACUUGGCUUUGACCUCAGGUUUUUGACCUGGCACUGGAAAAUGGAUUAGACUUUUGUACCCCUUUUGGUAAAAGUGGUGUAACAGAAAUGUACGGUGUGACUAGAAUGGAAAAUAAAAUCAGCUCAUCUAAAACUUCA